UACUGGAGCUGCUUCAGCUGUAUCCGUAGUCCUGUGUUGAAGUGCACACAUCUGAGGUCUGGGAUGUCAGAAUGACCACCCAGCUACUGUCGUGUCCCUUUUGACACCUGUCACGGUACGACACAUCAGAAGAUGCUGCAGAGAAACAGUCAAUACCACCGGACGGAAAAAGGCCAACUUAGGAAGCAGAACAAGUGAAACUUUACAAGUAAGCAACUAUAACACAUUUGUAUGCGAACGUGAGUACCCA
This 250-nucleotide long non-coding RNA is filed under the name Gallus gallus (chicken). Its description in RNAcentral is "long non-coding RNA NONGGAT006479". The record is from RNAcentral. Lineage: Eukaryota; Metazoa; Chordata; Aves; Galliformes; Phasianidae.